Molecule: ribosomal RNA, 468 nt
Filed under: uncultured bacterium
Lineage: Bacteria
Description: partial 16S ribosomal RNA
Rfam family: Bacterial small subunit ribosomal RNA
Source: RNAcentral
GACGAACGCUGGCGGCGUGCUUAACACAUGCAAGUCGAACGGAAAGGCCCUGCUUUUGUGGGGUGCUCGAGUGGCGAACGGGUGAGUAACACGUGAGUAACCUGCCCUUGACUUUGGGAUAACUUCAGGAAACUGGGGCUAAUACCGGAUAGGAGCUCCUGCUGCAUGGUGGGGGUUGGAAAGUUUCGGCGGUUGGGGAUGGGCUCGCGGCUUAUCAGCUUGUUGGUGGGGUAGUGGCUUACCAAGGCUUUGACGGGUAGCCGGCCUGAGAGGGUGACCGGCCACAUUGGGACUGAGAUACGGCCCAGACUCCUACGGGAGGCAGCAGUGGGGAAUAUUGCACAAUGGGCGGAAGCCUGAUGCAGCAACGCCGCGUGCGGGAUGAAGGCCUUCGGGUUGUAAACCGCUUUCGCCUGUGACGAAGCGUGAGUGACGGUAAUGGGUAAAGAAGCACCGGCUAACUACGUG